Molecule: ribosomal RNA, 510 nt
Filed under: uncultured bacterium
Lineage: Bacteria
Description: bacterial SSU rRNA
Rfam family: Bacterial small subunit ribosomal RNA
Source: RNAcentral
GAUGAACGCUAGCUACAGGCUUAACACAUGCAAGUCGAGGGGCAGCAUGAAGUUUGCUUGCAAACUUUGAUGGCGACCGGCGCACGGGUGAGUAACGCGUAUCCAACCUUCCCCUUACUAGGGAAUAGCCCGGCGAAAGUCGGAUUAAUGCCCUAUGUUCUCCUUUGCGGGCAUCUAACGAGGAGCAACGAUUCAUUGGUCAGGGAUGGGGAUGCGUCUGAUUAGCCAGUUGGCGGGGUAACGGCCCACCAAGGCGACGAUCAGUAGGGGUUCUGAGAGGAAGGUCCCCCACACUGGUACUGAGACACGGACCAGACUCCUACGGGAGGCAGCAGUGAGGAAUAUUGGUCAAUGGGCGCGAGCCUGAACCAGCCAAGUAGCGUGAGGGAUGACUGCCCUAUGGGUUGUAAACCUCUUUUAUAUGGGAAUAAUAGGUUCUACGUGUAGAAUUUUGCAUGUACCAUUAUGAAUAAGCAUCGGCUAACUCCGUGCCAGCAGCCGCGGUAAUAC